UGACGGCGUUGUACUCGACACGCAUGAGGAGCCUUAGACGUACUUUUCGUAUGCGAAACGCCAAAAAAGGAAGGACAUGGGAAAAUAAGGCACAACUUAAACGGAAAAGGGGAGACGGAGCGGUUCAUACACGACAGCAACACUAAAAUUUUCACGAAUGUUUUUUUUAUUGCUUGCUUUUGUUUCGCUUUACGUAUCCAUCAUCGCAAGGAAACACUUCAGGGCGUGGCAUCUCCGGGUCCAGUGCCUCCAGUUUAUCUGGGGGAGUCAAGCAGCACCCCUACUCCAUCGCCCCUGCCAAUGCCGAACCACCUCUGGCGGUGGCGGGGUCGGAGACCCUACGGCGUAGGCAGUGGUCAGAGCGAGGCAUCGCUUCGGAUGUCGGUGGUCAGGCCCUGGAUGGCAUUGCCUCUAAGCGACAUGCAGCAGUGGACACAUUUGCACCAUCCAUAUGAUGGGGCAGCGUAUCAGCGUGACUCAAGCAUCUCCCGUCCCCCCCCCGGCCCUCACACUGCCUACUGAUGUGGGCAGCCUGAGAGCCACUCCGAGGUGAAUGCGCGAGGUGUCGACCGGCAUGAUGGGCGCCGCUGUGAGGCGGGCUUCGAUUCGGGUGGAGGUGAGUAGAACUUGAGGCACGACGCCAUGCUCAACUGACUGAGUCAGCGCAUUGCUGUAACGCGCGUGCCCACGGCCGCUUGGCACCAGCUAAGGGGGUCUGUGGCACGCCAGGGGUAGUGUGGAGUUCAGCCCAUGGCGUAUGGGCAGAGAAUGGGCGUGCUGAAAAAAAAAAAAAAAACAGAAUCGCUUUGCGUUCGCGCCUGUGCCGCGUUGUCUCUACUCACGGAUCAACCUCAACUUCUUUUUUUUUCCGCGUGUCCGUUUCUGUUGCCAUCUCUACUGCGUAAAAAAUUUGUUAG
RNAcentral lists this unclassified non-coding RNA (917 nucleotides) under Leishmania donovani. Its description in RNAcentral is "gene:unknown". The record is from RNAcentral. Lineage: Eukaryota; Euglenozoa; Kinetoplastea; Trypanosomatida; Trypanosomatidae.